Molecule: unclassified non-coding RNA, 253 nt
Filed under: uncultured Pirellulaceae bacterium
Lineage: Bacteria; Pseudomonadati; Planctomycetota; Planctomycetia; Pirellulales; Pirellulaceae
Description: contains 16S-23S intergenic spacer region
Rfam family: Bacterial small subunit ribosomal RNA
Source: RNAcentral
GACGAACCGUGCAAACGUUAUUCGGAAUCACUGGGCUUAAAGCGUGCGUAGGCGGCUCAGAAAGUUGGGUGUGAAAUCCCUCGGCUCAACCGAGGAAUGGCGCCCAAAACUACUGAGCUUGAGGGAGUUAGAGGAGAGCGGAACUCACGGUGGAGCGGUGAAAUGCGUUGAUAUCGUGAGGAACACCGGUGGCGAAAGCGGCUCUCUGGGGCUCUUCUGACGCUCAGGCACGAAAGCUAGGGGAGCAAACGGG